RNAcentral lists this ribosomal RNA (2908 nucleotides) under Desulfosporosinus sp. RNAcentral's name for it is "23S ribosomal RNA". It matches the Rfam family "Bacterial large subunit ribosomal RNA". The record is from RNAcentral. Lineage: Bacteria; Bacillati; Bacillota; Clostridia; Eubacteriales; Desulfitobacteriaceae.
GGUCAAGUAAUUAAGUGCACACGGUGGAUGCCUUGGCAGUAGAAGGCGAUGAAAGACGUGUUAGCCUGCGAAAAGCUUCGGGGAGUUGGCAAAUAAGCAUUGAUCCGGAGAUAUCUGAAUGGGGAAACCCAACCCGCAAGGGUUAUUGCUACCUGAAUACAUAGGGUAGUGAAGCGAACCUGGAGAACUGAAACAUCUCAGUACCCAGAGGAAAAGAAAUCAACCGAGAUUUCCCUAGUAGUGGCGAGCGAAAGGGAAAGAGCCCAGUCACAUCAAGUUUGAUUAUCGUAACAGAACGGUUUGGAAAAGCCGGCAAUAAAGGGUGAUAGCCCCGUACGUAAAACGAUAGUUAGAUGGGUGACGAAGAGUAGGUCGGGACACGUGAAAUCCUGAUUGAAUAUGGGGGGACCAUCCUCCAAGGCUAAAUACUCUCUACUGACCGAUAGUGAACUAGUACCGUGAGGGAAAGGCGAAAAGAACCCCGGAGAGGGGAGUGAAAUAGAACCUGAAACCGUGUGCAUACAAGCAGUAGGAGCGGACUUUGUUCCGUGACUGCGUACCUUUUGUAUAAUGGGUCAGCGAGUUACUUUCAUUGGCAAGCUUAACCGAAUAGGGGAGGCGAAGGGAAACCGAGUCUUAAUAGGGCGAUAAGUCGAUGUGAGUAGACCCGAAACCGGGCGAUCUAUCCAUGACCAGGAUGAAGGUUAGGUAACACUGACUGGAGGUCCGAACCCACUCCUGUUGAAAAAGUAGGGGAUGAGUUGUGGAUAGGAGUGAAAGGCUAAUCAAGCCCGGAGAUAGCUGGUUCUCCUCGAAAGCUAUUGAGGUAGCGCCUCGUGUGAUCACUCUUGGGGGUAGAGCACUGUGCCGGCUAGGGGGUCUUUAUAGGCUUACCAAACCGAUGCAAACUUCGAAUACCGAGAAGUGCAACACGGGAGACACACGGCGGGUGAUAAGGUCCGUCGUGAAGAGGGACACAGCCCAGACCGACAGCUAAGGUCCCAAAGUCAUGGUUAAGUGGGAAACGAUGUGAGAAGUCCGAGACAGCCAGGAGGUUGGCUUAGAAGCAGCCAUCCUUUAAAGAAAGCGUAAUAGCUCACUGGUCGAGUCGGCUUGCGCGGAAGAUGUAACGGGGCUAAAACCAUGCACCGAAGCUUCGGAUUUGAAUCUAUUUAUAGAUUUGAGUGGUAGAGGAGCGUUCUGUAAGUCUGUGAAGGUGCAUUGAGAAGUGUGCUGGAGAUAUCAGAAGUGCGAAUGCUGACAUGAGUAACGAUAAUGCGGGUGAAAAACCCGCACGCCGUAAAUCCAAGGAUUCCUGCGCCACGGUAAUCGGCGCAGGGUGAGUCGGCCCCUAAGGCGAGGCAGAGAUGCGUAGUCGAUGGGAAACGGGUUAAUAUUCCCGUACUUGGUAAUACUGCGAAGUGAUGACGGAGAAGGCUAAAUUGGCCGGGUGUUGGAUGUCCUGGUUUAAGCGAGUAGGAAGAGGUCUUAGGCAAAUCCGGGAUCUCAUUAAUUCUGAGACGUGAUGACGAGUUAUCUUUUAGAUAAUGAAGUAAUUGAUGCCAAGCUUCCAAGAAAAGUCUCUAAGCGAUAGGUAUUACUGAACCGUACCGAAAACCGACACAGGUGGAUGAGUAGAGAAUACUAAGGCGCGUGAGAGAACCCAGGUGAAGGAACUAGGCAAAAUAGCACCGUAACUUCGGGAGAAGGUGUGCCACUGGUAUGUGAAGGUCUUUACGACUGGAGCGGAGAGUGGUUGCAAUAGUCAGGUGGUUGCGACUGUUUAAUAAAAACACAGCACUCUGCGAACUCGGAAGAGGAAGUAUAGGGUGUGACGCCUGCCCGGUGCCGGAAGGUUAAUUGAUGGGGUCAGCGCAAGCGAAGCUCUUGAUCGAAGCCCCGGUAAACGGCGGCCGUAACUAUAACGGUCCUAAGGUAGCGAAAUUCCUUGUCGGGUAAGUUCCGACCUGCACGAAUGGCGUAACGACAGCCACGCUGUCUCCACCUGGGACUCAGUGAAGUUGAAUUUGCUGUGAAGAUGCAGUGUACCCGCGGCAAGACGGAAAGACCCCGUGCACCUUUACUAUAGCUUUGCACUGGACUUUGAGUUUUUCUGUGUAGGAUAGGUGGGAGGCAUUGAAGCAGACGCGCUAGCGUAUGUGGAGCCAACCUUGAAAUACCACCCUGAAACACUUGGAGUUCUAACCUAGUCCCGUAAUCCGGGAUGGGGACAGUGCAUGGUGGGUAGUUUGACUGGGGCGGUCUCCUCCCAAAGAGUAACGGAGGAGCACGAAGGUACUCUCAGUGCGGUCGGAAAUCGCACGUUGCGUGUAAGAGCGGAAGAGUGCUUGACUGUGAGAUUGACGGAUCGAGCAGGUGCGAAAGCAGGUUCUAGUGAUCCGGUGGUUCUGAAUGGAAGGGCCAUCGCUCAACGGAUAAAAGGUACGCCGGGGAUAACAGGCUGAUACCGCCCAAGAGUUCAUAUCGACGGCGGUGUUUGGCACCUCGAUGUCGGCUCAUCACAUCCUGGGGCUGAAGCUGGUCCCAAGGGUAUGGCUGUUCGCCAUUUAAAGUGGUACGCGAGCUGGGUUUAGAACGUCGUGAGACAGUUCGGUCCCUAUCUGCCGUGGGCGUUAGAGAUUUGAGGGGAGCUGUUCCUAGUACGAGAGGACCGGAAUGGACGAACCUCUGGUGUACCGGUUGUCAUGCCAAUGGCACUGCCGGGUAGCUAUGUUCGGAAAGGAUAACCGCUGAAAGCAUCUAAGCGGGAAACCUGCCCCAAGAUGAGAUCUCUCGAGCCGUAAGGCUCCUGAAGGUUUGUUGAAGACUACAACGUUGAUAGGCUGGAUGUGUAAGUGCAGCAAUGUAUGAAGCUUACCAGUACUAAUUGACCGUGAGGCUUGACCAU